UUCUCUCCUUUUUUUUUUUUUCUUUCCAUUCAAAGGAAAGUAAAGAGUCCUGCCCAGCCUCCUAGGCCUCCCCCGAAAUAACCGUUGGGUGCUCGUAUGUGACACUGCGCUGGUUUUAUAGUUGGGAGGAGGUGGAAGAAGACAUUAGAUCCAUACCCAUGAAAUUUAUAGUCUAAGAGCCUACGAUUCCUAAACCAAAAGCUAUAGGACGAGGCGGGAAAUGCCAGCACCUGAGACUUGUUCUACCAUCCUUUUAGUUUGCAAGUGGGGGGGGGAGAAAAAAAAAGGAAUUACCGAAGAUUUUUCCAAUGUCCUGCAUUGUUAUUUGACAUAGUAGAGAACGAGAAGCGUUAACAAUAAAGAAUGAGCGCAUCAUACUGGUCAUCAGUUUGGCUUUAGGCGUUGUUUAUUUGUUCACCCAACAGAUGAUUGAGUGGCCAGGCCCUGUGUUGGGUGCUAGAGCAGUGGCAUGCUGCCGUCCGUUAGAAGCUCCGGGUGUGAUAGUGACAGAAGGCAGGAGAGUGUGGAAACCAAGUGUGUGCCCCGCGGUGCGUGGGACUCCCGGGAUCCAGGUCUGGCGGCUGAGAGGCUUCUGAGGAAGGCAGGAUGAUGAAGUGCUGGCAGCUGCCCGAGCCCAGGCCUUUAGGAAUAAAUGAGACACGCAGCAGAGGGCUCCUGUGGCCAUACCAGACCCCGUGCCAGGACCCCGUCAAGGACCCGGAGCAAGGACCCCAUGCCAGGACCCCGUGCCAGGACCCCGUGCCAGGACCCCGUGCGAGGGAGGAAGCCUUAGGACCCCGCCAUUACCCACGGAGAAGGCUGGGUGCCCUCGGGCCUUGCUUCCGCUUGAAUCCAGAGGUUGCGAGCAUGCCUCCCUCUGUCCCUGUGGGAGCAGGUUUAAUUUUAUAAAAUGUGAAACACGAACUCUGUGAGUUUCUAGUCCGUCCUCGUUCUUGCUGAGGACCCACACGGCUGAGCAGGAUGGCAUCGGCAGCAUGAAUGGCAGCAGGCUCCAUCCACAUGUGCACCGGGGGCCGCGGUGCAGGGAGGCCCCUGCAGGAGAGGAGCUCCCGUUGGUGGGAGCACAGGUUCCCGGAGCUGUGACGCCGGUGGCUAAGGCUGUUCUCCGGAACACAGUGUGCAGGCUGAGCUCUGACGGUGGCUCUCCUCACUGUCCUUGGUCACCGCCCUGGACAGUCGCCCGCUUUGGGCAUCCUCAGGGUUCACUGGACAGAAAGCAGCCCUGGGAGAACGCAGGGCUCCAGACAGUGUCGCAGGGUCACCCAUGGCAGGUGCCGGUGGCCAGUGCCAAGCCUGGUGGGCGAGGAAGCACAUGGCAGCGAGCGGGCGUAUUGCUUUGUGUUGUAAGCAUACUUUAUAAGUACGUUUCUUACCAGCUUCUCAUUCGGGCAGAGACCGCAAAAUCCCUCUCUGAGUUCCCAGGCCAGGAUUUGUGUUUUGGAAAUGACCAGUGUCCACAAUACCUGCAGUGGGGGGGGGGGGGAAUACCAAAACUCAAGUCUGAGCACUCCUUAUGUCUGAAGGAAUGUUUUUAUCAUUCUCCUGUCUGUUCUGGCUCUGUCCCGGAUUAAAGUGCUCGGAAAGCCGGA
This is a long non-coding RNA of Pipistrellus kuhlii (Kuhl's pipistrelle), 1610 nucleotides long. RefSeq lists it as uncharacterized. The record is from RefSeq and is a predicted model, not a curated record. NCBI's taxonomy places the organism in Eukaryota, Metazoa, Chordata, Mammalia, Chiroptera, Vespertilionidae. The transcript is spliced from 2 exons.